RNAcentral lists this long non-coding RNA (1453 nucleotides) under Salmo salar (Atlantic salmon). Its description in RNAcentral is "lncRNA (ENSSSAG00000086198.1)". Lineage: Eukaryota; Metazoa; Chordata; Actinopteri; Salmoniformes; Salmonidae. The record is from RNAcentral.
AGGGAAAUAAGUAUUUGACCCCUCUGCAAAACAUGACUUAGUACUUGGUGGCAAAACCCUUGUUGGCAAUCACAGAGGUCAGACGUUUUGUUGUUAUUCUAUCUCUCACUGUUCAAAUAAACCUACCAUUAAAAUUAUAGACUGAUCCUUUCUUUGUCAGUGGGCAAACAUACAAAAUCAGCAGGGGAUCAAAUACUUUUUUCCCCCACUGUAGGGAGGAGAUAUCAGUGAUGAACUUGUGCAGUCUAGAUGGGGUGAUAUAGAGCUGAUGGAGGAAAAUAAACUGGAUCAGUCUGUAUCUGGAGUUCAAUGUGGAUGUAACAACAUCCCUGCAUAGGUCACUCCAUAGACCCUCAUCAAGAUCAAUACCCAGAUCUUUUCCCCAUCUAAUUCAGGAUUUAUCUAGAUCAUGCAGUGUUAGUCCUGACAUAAGAGCAUCGUAAACACGGAAAAUGGUCUUGAACAGUGGUUGGUCUGCAUGGCAGAGUUGUUCAAUAGGUGACAUCUUAGGUAGGUGCCAUUGUCCCUUCAGAGUCACCCUAAUUUACAUUUAACAUUUACAUUUACAUUUGUCAUUUAGCAGACGCUCUUAUCCAGAGCGAUUUACAAAUUGGUGCAUUCACCUUAUGAUAUCCAGUGGAACAACCACUUUACAAUAGUACAUCUAAAUCUUUUAGGGGGGGUUAGAAGGAUUACUUUAUCCUAUCCUAGGUAUUCCUUAUAGAUUUACUGUCCCAUUUGUAAAACAAUUCAGGACCAUUAUCAAACCUCUGAGCCAGAAAUCUAGGCUAAGCAGCCCAGUAGUACAUUCUGAAAUUGGGGGGUUUAAGCCCCCAUAAUCAAGGGUCAGUUUAUCCAGGCUAACCCUCGGGGAUUUUCCGUGCCAGAUAAACCGUCUGGUCAGCUUGUCGAGAGAGGAAAAGAAUGGCAAGCUGGCCAGAUUGAGUUUAUAGAGGUUGUUCAGGUCCCCCUCCACCCUUUACAACAAGCUGGCCAGAUUGAGUUUAUAGAGGUUGUUCAGGUCCCCCUCCACCUUUUACAACAAGCUGGCCAGAUUGAGUUUAUAGAGGUUGUUCAGGUUACCAUCCACCAUUAUGCCCAAAUAUGUGAAGCCCAUAGGCGACCAUCUAAAAAGAAACUUAUGUUUGAUGGUAUGAUGGUCAAAGACAGACGACAGUAAGAUUUAGCUUUUAUCAGAUUUCUACUUUGCACAUUCUUCCACUGCAAAUCUACCAUUCCAGUGUUUUACUUGCUAUAUUGUAUUUACUUCACCACCAUGGCCUUUUUUUACCUUUACCUCCCUUAUCUCACCUCAUUUGCUCACAUUGUAUAUAGACUUAUUUUUCUACUGUAUUAUUGACUGUAUGUUUGUUUUACUCCAUGUGUAACUCUGUGUUGUUGUAUGUGUCGAACUGCUUUGCUUUAUCUUGACCAGGUCGCAAUUGUAAAUGAG